AUGAACGCUGGCGGCGUGCCUAAUCCAUGCAAGUCGCGCGAACGGACGAGAAGCUUGCUUCUCUGAUGUUAUCGGCGGACGGGUGAGUAACACGUGGAUAACCUACCUAUAAGACUGGGAUAACUUCGGGAAACCGGAGCUAAUACCGGAUAAUAUUUUGAACCGCAUGGUUCAAAAGUGAAAGACGGUCUUGCUGUCACUUAUAGAUGGAUCCGCGCUGCAUUAGCUAGUUGGUAAGGUAACGGCUUACCAAGGCAACGAUGCAUAGCCGACCUGAGAGGGUGAUCGGCCACACUGGAACUGAGACACGGUCCAGACUCCUACGGGAGGCAGCAGUAGGGAAUCUUCCGCAAUGGGCGAAAGCCUGACGGAGCAACGCCGCGUGAGUGAUGAAGGUCUUCGGAUCGUAAAACUCUGUUAUUAGGGAAGAACAUAUGUGUAAGUAACUGUGCACAUCUUGACGGUACCUAAUCAGAAAGCCACGGCUAACUACGUG
Molecule: ribosomal RNA, 496 nt
Filed under: uncultured bacterium
Lineage: Bacteria
Description: partial 16S ribosomal RNA
Rfam family: Bacterial small subunit ribosomal RNA
Source: RNAcentral